ACAUGAGAGGCCGUUAACAUUACUUGCAUGUGUGUUAACUGAGUCAGUGCAUGAAAUCAAUUACUGUUUGCAACUUUUGAAUCUAAUAAUAAAAGUACACGAUUCAAAGGUUUUUUAUAUCCAUCCAUGUAACAUGUCAUGUCUCUCUUAAAAAAAGAUGUCAUGUCAUAUUAUUCUAUUACAGGAGACCCGUAACAAUGUGCAUAUAAUUACUUUAUUAGCAUUUAAAAUAACAGACAUUCUUGUCAUUUCAAUAGGUCUAGAUUAAAUGGCACGGCCCAUCUAGUCUCGCGUGAUUUAGUGAGGGGAGUCACCACCGAUGUUUUCAUUGGGAAGAAGAUUCUCCACUAUCUUUCCUCCCGUCAUUAAGGAGUCCAGAGAGAUUAAUUUUUCUUUUCUAGAUUUUUUAAUUCAUUAAAGUAAAUCAUAAAAUUAGAAAAAUCAAUGGCUCAAUGAUUUAAAAUAUUACUUCGUUAAAGGUAAAGUUUGUGGAUGUAGUAGGUAUGAAGGUCAAAAUGGUCAAUGUAUUACAAGGCA
RNAcentral lists this long non-coding RNA (537 nucleotides) under Sorghum bicolor (sorghum). RNAcentral's name for it is "long non-coding RNA (SBIC_LNC009551)". Lineage: Eukaryota; Viridiplantae; Streptophyta; Magnoliopsida; Poales; Poaceae. The record is from RNAcentral.